RNAcentral lists this ribosomal RNA (465 nucleotides) under Vreelandella stevensii. RNAcentral describes it as "partial 16S ribosomal RNA". It matches the Rfam family "Bacterial small subunit ribosomal RNA", at positions 338 to 795 of the family's 1533-position model. Lineage: Bacteria; Pseudomonadati; Pseudomonadota; Gammaproteobacteria; Oceanospirillales; Halomonadaceae. The record is from RNAcentral.
CCUACGGGGGGCAGCAGUGGGGAAUAUUGGACAAUGGGGGGAACCCUGAUCCAGCCAUGCCGCGUGUGUGAAGAAGGCCCUCGGGUUGUAAAGCACUUUCAGUGAGGAAGAACGCCUGGUGGUUAAUACCCAUCAGGAAAGACAUCACUCACAGAAGAAGCACCGGCUAACUCCGUGCCAGCAGCCGCGGUAAUACGGAGGGUGCGAGCGUUAAUCGGAAUUACUGGGCGUAAAGCGCGCGUAGGUGGCUUGAUAAGCCGGUUGUGAAAGCCCCGGGCUCAACCGGGGAACGGCAUCCGGAACUGUCAAGCUAGAGUGCAGGAGAGGAAGGUAGUAUUCCCGGUGUAGCGGUGAAAUGCGUAGAGAUCGGGAGGAAUACCAGUGGCGAAGGCGGCCUUCUGGACUGACACUGACACUGAGGUGCGAAAGCGUGGGUAGCAAACAGGAUUAGAUACCCUGGUAGUC